AGCCACCCUGCUGCUACAGAAAGCUAAUUAGACCCUCACAUAUUGCUCCCCCUGCUUGGCUAAUGAUGGUGGUGUGAACACUAUGACACAGAAGUGUCACUAACUAUCCCUGUCUCUAUGGCUAGCUGAACACAGGUCCACAGAUGAGAUAAAGUCCUUUAUUUCACCUGUAUCUCCUUCAGCACCAAAUCACAGGUGUGUGUACUGUAGGACUUUGCUUUUAGUGGGGAUUGGUGACAUGUAUAGCAGCAGAUGUUCCUCUGUGUCAGAGUCGUGUAUCCAUACUGUAGUCCAAUGUUAAGAAGAAUAGUUUUGUAGCAUAUAAAGAAUAUUCUUAUUUAUGCAUUGGAGGAAUGUUGUCCUGCACAACUGCUCUAAAGGUCAAGCGUGGCCCCAGAACAACAGAGUGCUGAAUGUGACCUGGUACCUCCUGUGACCCCCAGCUACAUCAGGAAAGAAGCCCAACGGAGCUCAUCAUGGAAUGAACAGGUAGCCUGCAGCCAUAUCAUCUGACAUUUGCCUCUAGUCAAAUGAAACGGUCAUGGCUAGAAGGGCUCCAGCUUUUGUCAAAUGAAACAGUCAUGGCUAGAAGGGCUCCAGCUUUUGUCAAAUUAACAUCAAAAGUAGAUUUUUUUGGGGACAUUUUAGCUAACCCUAACUGUUUUCCUAACCUUAACCUAAUUCUUAUGACCGAUUGCGUUAAUUCUCCUUACCGGCUGAGUACGUUCUCCUAACCUUCUACGAAAAGUCACAUUUGAAUAAAGCUGUUUCCCAUCUAUUCAAAACCAAAUGAAACCGGACGAUGUGCAUUGCAUUCUCCUUCUCCAGUCUCAGCCAAGAGGAUUCAAUAAAAUACACACACUACCACUGCACAAAAAGAGACAAGAACGUGCUCUAUUGUUGACAAUAUGCUAAGGUGAAUACAAAGUUAGCUUUGGAAAAUGUCAUCAAAUACAUUUUACGACACCGUGCAGCAUAAGAAAAAACACAAACAUGAAACAAACUUCCAAGAGACAAAUUAUCAAAGGCAACUAAUCUGUCAUACUUCACCAGGUCACAACAGCUAAAUCAAGAUUAGAAUGGAGGGAAACAACUCAUCAGACCUUUGAUGUUUACUACCUUUCUUAAUGGGCAUGAUUGGCCCAUGAUUACUCCUUUGGUUUCUGUAGAUAUGUAUAUGAAUACAGGCAGUAAGGGCACAAUGAAAUACAGUCUAUAAAUAUUAAUGAAGGCUUAAAUGUCACAUUCCAAACUGCCGUAAUCUGUGACAUUAGCUACAUUUAGAUCACUUUCACACACAAAUCACUUUAAUCUACUCCUCCACAUUGUAGUUUGAAUUUGAAAUUCAAUCAACCACUAUGUUACAAUGCCAAUGGCACUAUCAUGGCCGCAGGAAGAUGUUUUGUGGUGGGGGGGCUUUUAGUAGCAGGCUAGGAGAACUUACUCAGCAGGUUAGGAGAACUUACUCAGCAGGUUAGGAGAACUUACUCAGCAGGUUAGGAGAACUUACUCAGCAGGUUAGGAGAACUUACUCAGCAGGUUAGGAGAACUUACUCAGCAGGUUAGGAGAACUUACUCAGCAGGUUAGGAGAACUUACUCAGCAGGCUAGGAGAACUUACUCAGCAGGUUAGGAGAACUUACUCAGCAGGUUAGGAGAACUAACGUAGCAGGUUAGGAGAACUUACUCAGCAGGUUAGGAGAACUUACUCAGCAGGUUAGGAGAACUAACGUAGCAGGUUAGGAGAACUUACUCAGCAGGUUAGGAGAACUUACUCAGCAGGUUAGGAGAACUUACUCAGCAGGUUAGGAGAAC
Molecule: long non-coding RNA, 1814 nt
Organism: Oncorhynchus tshawytscha (Chinook salmon)
Lineage: Eukaryota; Metazoa; Chordata; Actinopteri; Salmoniformes; Salmonidae
Source: Ensembl